Molecule: long non-coding RNA, 623 nt
Filed under: Vigna radiata
Lineage: Eukaryota; Viridiplantae; Streptophyta; Magnoliopsida; Fabales; Fabaceae
Description: long non-coding RNA (VRAD_LNC008038)
Source: RNAcentral
CUCUAGUCAUUAUAUAGGUUAAAAAAAACUUGCAAAAUUUGUAAAUGGUGAAUGAAUAAAACACUAAGUAGAGAAGGGAGAGGAAAGAAAUUAAAGCUAUUGAUACAUAGAUAGAUCAAGUACAUAAAUCAACAAUCAUCAGUCGCAUGAAUAAAUGGCACAACAAAAUAAGCAUACAAAAUCUAAAACGCCCAAUAGUGUGAAUAUGUGACAAGACUAACCUUCCCAGGGUGAUUGUACAAAGAUGAUAGAUCAAAGAACAGAGAGGGAACGCCUUAGAAACAACUGUAAUAAAUACCAAAAUCUAUUAGUUAUUGAUUUGGAAUAGACAAUUGUAAUAAAUACCAAGUUCAACAAUUUUAAUGACUACCAAAUUUUUUUUCAUUACCUUAAAACUGACCAGAUUUUCUACUUGCAGUGGUUGAGUUUUUUGUACCUUCUUUGGGAGCACUAACUGGAAGAGAAGAAAUAAUGUAUCUACAGAAUGCAGAACAACGAUUAAUGAUAAGCUCACAUAUCAAUCUGCAUAAAAGCUUAUUUCACUAUUGUAUGAAGCACCAACAAGAGCAUCAUACUUUACCUCAUCACUUGUUCAUGACUAAAAAUGGUUAACUCUUGCAAAU